This 253-nucleotide ribosomal RNA is filed under the name uncultured bacterium. Its description in RNAcentral is "partial 16S ribosomal RNA". It matches the Rfam family "Bacterial small subunit ribosomal RNA", at positions 524 to 776 of the family's 1533-position model. The record is from RNAcentral.
UACGGAGGGUGCAAGCGUUAUCCGGAUUUACUGGGUUUAAAGGGUGCGUAGGCGGGCCUGUAAGUCAGUGGUGAAAUCUCCGGGCUUAACUCGGAAACUGCCAUUGAUACUAUAGGUCUUGAAUACUCUUGAGGUAAGCGGAAUAUGUCAUGUAGCGGUGAAAUGCUUAGAUAUGACAUAGAACACCGAUUGCGAAGGCAGCUUACUAAAUAGUUAUUGACGCUGAGGCACGAAAGCGUGGGGAUCAAACAGG